RNAcentral lists this ribosomal RNA (872 nucleotides) under Cytospora xylocarpi. RNAcentral describes it as "LSU rRNA". It matches the Rfam family "Eukaryotic large subunit ribosomal RNA", at positions 38 to 940 of the family's 3401-position model. The record is from RNAcentral. Lineage: Eukaryota; Fungi; Ascomycota; Sordariomycetes; Diaporthales; Cytosporaceae.
GCAUAUCAAUAAGCGGAGGAAAAGAAACCAACAGGGAUUGCCCUAGUAACGGCGAGUGAAGCGGCAACAGCUCAAAUUUGAAAGCUGGCUCCGGCCCGCAUUGUAAUUUGCAGAGGAUGCUUUUGGUGAGGUGCCUUCCGAGUUCCCUGGAACGGGACGCCACAGAGGGUGAGAGCCCCGUAUGGAUGGACACCAAACCUGUGUAAAGCUCCUUCAACGAGUCGAGUAGUUUGGGAAUGCUGCUCAAAAUGGGAGGUAAAUCUCUUCUAAAGCUAAAUACCGGCCAGAGACCGAUAGCGCACAAGUAGAGUGAUCGAAAGAUGAAAAGCACCUUGAAAAGGGGGUUAAACAGUACGUGAAAUUGUUGAAAGGGAAGCGUUUGUGACCAGACUUGCGCCGGGCAGCUCAUCAGGGGUUCUCCCCUGUGCACUCUGCCCGGCUCAGGCCAGCAUCGGUUCUCGUGGGAGGAUAAGAACGGUGGGAACGUGGCCCCCUCUCGGGGGGGUGUUAUAGCCCGCCGUACGAUACUCCCGUGGGGACCGAGGUUCGCGCUCCGCAAGGAUGCUGGCGUAAUGGUCAUCAACGACCCGUCUUGAAACACGGACCAAGGAGUCGUCCAUUAGAGCGAGCGUUUGGGUGUCAAACCCGCACGCGUAAUGAAAGUGAACGCAGGUGAGAGCUUCGGCGCAUCAUCGACCGAUCCUGAUGUUCUCGGAUGGAUUUGAGUAAGAGUUUUAACGGACGGACCCGAAAGACAGUGAACUAUGCUUGUAUAGGGUGAAGCCAGAGGAAACUCUGGUGGAGGCUCGCAGCGGUUCUGACGUGCAAAUCGAUCGUCAAAUAUGAGCAUGGGGGCGAAAGACUAAUCGAAC